Molecule: long non-coding RNA, 581 nt
Organism: Zalophus californianus (California sea lion)
Lineage: Eukaryota; Metazoa; Chordata; Mammalia; Carnivora; Otariidae
Exons: 4
Source: RefSeq, a predicted model, not a curated record
CCAAGCAAGGAGACCCAUGUGGGGCUCAAUCCCAGGAGCCAGGGUCAUAACCUGAGCCUAAGUCUCUUACAGGAACCUUUCCACUUUGUCUUCUGGGGAUUUAUAAUGUAUUUAUUGAGACGGGGCACAAGGCAGAAUGUUAAUUAUGUGCUAAAUUCAAAGUUAAAGUACCAGGGUAACUCGGAAAAGGGAGAACACAGUUUGUCCUGGAAUCAUUAAGGAACGCUUCAAAGAGAUAGGUCAUUUUGUUCUGAAUAUCCCUGUAAUGUACACAAUCAAUAGAUCUUUAUCAUCAACUAAUCUUGAAAAGUUCCCAAAAGAGAAAGAGAGAGAAUGAGAGGAAAUCAGCCCAGCUGCAGAAGGAGCUACCAAUAUACCAGCAAAUCCACACAAGCGGUGGCUUGAUAAGCAUUUGUGCAUUGAGUCUUACCCUCUCUGAACACUCCUGCCGCAGUGUGAAGCCAGCAUGAAACACAUGGAGAGAGGCCCAGCUGGCCUAGGGGUCCAGUCGUCCCCGCUGAGACCCCAGGCAUGAUUGAGAAGUUGUCUUAGACCAUCCAGGCCCAGUUGAAGUCACAGAU